GACGAACGCUGGCGGCGCGCCUAACACAUGCAAGUCGAACGAGCAAAGAGGAGCUUGCUUCUCUGAGCGAGUGGCGAACGGGUGAGUAACGCGUGAGGAACCUGCCUCAAAGAGGGGGACAACAGUUGGAAACGACUGCUAAUACCGCAUAAGCCCACGGGUCGGCAUCGACCAGAGGGAAAAGGAGCAAUCCGCUUUGAGAUGGCCUCGCGUCCGAUUAGCUAGUUGGUGAGGUAAUGGCCCACCAAGGCGACGAUCGGUAGCCGGACUGAGAGGUUGAACGGCCACAUUGGGACUGAGACACGGCCCAAACUCCUACGGGAGGCAGCAGUGGGGAAUAUUGCACAAUGGGGGAAACCCUGAUGCAGCGACGCCGCGUGAGUGAAGAAGUAUUUCGGUAUGUAAAGCUCUAUCAGCAGGGAAGAUAAUGACGGUACCUGACUAAGAAGCCCCGGCUAACUACGUG
This 466-nucleotide ribosomal RNA is filed under the name uncultured bacterium. RNAcentral's name for it is "bacterial SSU rRNA". It matches the Rfam family "Bacterial small subunit ribosomal RNA", at positions 28 to 507 of the family's 1533-position model. The record is from RNAcentral.